UUAAAUUGCCCAAAAUUUAGAUGUGAAAUGUGUUUGCAUACACGACUAGUAUAUAUAAACAUGUAUAUGUGCUUAUACAAAUAAUUAUGAUGUGUCCUAUUUGGUUAGGAGGGGAAAUAGAGUGAGGGCUUGCAGAUGUUACAUUUGAGGAGAUACCAAAAUCACGCUCUAAUGGGUCACACGCGGUGUUCCAGCAAGAGAAAAAGGGUAGCCGGGCAAACAUGAACAGGACAAAACAACUCAAGUACGUCAAGGCACACUGAUAAGGACAUUCUGGCCAAGCACAAGAAAAAAGAAAGAUGCGGCAAAGCAAGGGAAAAGACUAUUUUAUUUGAAGAAAUAUAAUACUUGCUAACCGAAAUUCAAAAACAAAAAGGCUUAUUGAGAAAUACAAGGAGCUCAAGGCAUUUAGGAAGCUAGAAUCUUAUAUUGAGAAAAGGAGUAGGAAGAAUGCUGCAAAGAACCAUAAAUACAUGCCGUAUCAAUGUUGAGCAACAAAACCAGUGACUUUUACCGAUUUCUAAAUACAUUCAAUAAAUAUUUUUCUAUGUAAUGAUGUUGUGAUAAUUUAAUGGUUUAGUUUAAAGUCAAUGUAAAACAACAUUUUUCUGUUGCAAGGAGAAAAUAAUGUCAGUGAUCCAAAUGC
This is a long non-coding RNA of Camellia sinensis, 646 nucleotides long. RefSeq lists it as uncharacterized. The record is from RefSeq and is a predicted model, not a curated record. Lineage: Eukaryota; Viridiplantae; Streptophyta; Magnoliopsida; Ericales; Theaceae.